AAUUGCCAGAUAUUGUUUGUGUAUCUUGGCUUUUGUCUUAUUCCACUUUGCUGUAGAAGGUUGGUGGAGUCUAAGGCUCCAACUCUGAUUUUUUCUGAAAAAAAUAUAGAAUCUAUCAAGAGAGUUUUUUUUUCUCUACAUGAUCAGGUUUCCACAAGAUGUCGGUUUUUGGGAUUGGAAGUGCUCUGUCCCUUUUUCUUUAUCGUGAAGCCUAGCAUUUUUGGGCACCUAUGUAGAGAGGAGGUAACUACUAUAACUAUUCUCAUCAAAGCUCAUACAUCUUGUCUCUGCUCUUGGAGGUUUGAUAGAGCAGUAGUUUUUUUUUUUUUACAUGAUUAGGUUUCCACAAGG
Molecule: long non-coding RNA, 351 nt
Filed under: Elaeis guineensis (African oil palm)
Lineage: Eukaryota; Viridiplantae; Streptophyta; Magnoliopsida; Arecales; Arecaceae
Description: long non-coding RNA (EGUI_LNC029053)
Source: RNAcentral